GGUGACCUCGGAUCAGGUAGAGCCAUCUU
This 29-nucleotide ribosomal RNA is filed under the name Cladosporium halotolerans. RNAcentral describes it as "partial 28S ribosomal RNA". Lineage: Eukaryota; Fungi; Ascomycota; Dothideomycetes; Cladosporiales; Cladosporiaceae. The record is from RNAcentral.